Molecule: ribosomal RNA, 253 nt
Filed under: uncultured bacterium
Lineage: Bacteria
Also listed under: 1 other name
Description: partial 16S ribosomal RNA
Rfam family: Bacterial small subunit ribosomal RNA
Source: RNAcentral
GACGAACCGUGCGAACGUUGUUCGGAAUCACUGGGCUUAAAGGGCGCGUAGGCGGGCUGUCAAGUCUGGGGUGAAAUCCCGCGGCUCAACCGUGGAACUGCCUCAGAUACUGACGGCCUCGAGGGAGAUAGGGGCGAGCGGAACUGUGAGUGGAGCGGUGAAAUGCGUUGAUAUUCACAGGAACUCCGGUGGCGAAGGCGGCUCGCUGGAUCUCUUCUGACGCUGAGGCGCGAAAGCCAGGGGAGCAAACGGG